Molecule: ribosomal RNA, 265 nt
Filed under: uncultured archaeon
Lineage: Archaea
Description: partial 16S ribosomal RNA
Rfam family: Archaeal small subunit ribosomal RNA
Source: RNAcentral
AGUCACUGACAUUAGACUACCCGUGUAGUCCAGGGUGUAAACGCUGCAGACUUGGUGUUGGAAAUCCUUCGAGAGUAUUCAGUGCCGGAGAGAAGUUGUUAAGUCUGCUACUUGGGAGUACGUCCGCAAGGAUGAAACUUAAAGGAAUUGGCGGGGGAGCACCGCAACGGGAGGAGCGUGCGGUUUAAUUGGAUUCAACACCGGAAAACUCACCAGGGGAGACUGUUACAUGAAACCCAGACUAAUGAUCUUGGUUGAUUUUCAG